AGCUUGCUCUGUGGGAUAAAAGGCGAACGGGUGAGUAACACGUGAGCAACCUGCCCCUGACUCUGGGAUAAGCGCUGGAAACGGCGUCUAAUACUGGAUAUGUGACGUGACCGCAUGGUCUGCGUUUGGAAAGAUUUUUCGGUUGGGGAUGGGCUCGCGGCCUAUCAGCUUGUUGGUGAGGUAAUGGCUCACCAAGGCGUCGACGGGUAGCCGGCCUGAGAGGGUGACCGGCCACACUGGGACUGAGACACGGCCCAGACUCCUACGGGAGGCAGCAGUGGGGAAUAUUGCACAAUGGGCGCAAGCCUGAUGCAGCAACGCCGCGUGAGGGAUGACGGCCUUCGGGUUGUAAACCUCUUUUAGCAGGGAAGAAGCGAAAGUGACGGUACCUGCAGAAAAAGCGCCGGCUAACUACGUGCCAGCAGCCGCGGUAAUACGUAGGGCGCAAGCGUUAUCCGGAAUUAUUGGGCGUAAAGAGCUCGUAGGCGGUUUGUCGCGUCUGCUGUGAAAUCCCGAGGCUCAACCUCGGGCCUGCAGUGGGUACGGGCAGACUAGAGUGCGGUAGGGGAGAUUGGAAUUCCUGGUGUAGCGGUGGAAUGCGCAGAUAUCAGGAGGAACACCGAUGGCGAAGGCAGAUCUCUGGGCCGUAACUGACGCUGAGGAGCGAAAGGGUGGGGAGCAACAGGCUUAGAUACCCUGGUAGUCCACCCCGUAAACGUUGGGAACUAGUUGUGGGGUCCAUUCCACGGAUUCCGUGACGCAGCUAACGCAUUAAGUUCCCCGCCUGGGGAGUACGGCCGCAAGGCUAAAACUCAAAGGAAUUGACGGGGACCCGCACAAGCGGCGGAGCAUGCGGAUUAAUUCGAUGCAACGCGAAGAACCUUACCAAUGCUUGACAUAUACGAGAACGGGCCAGAAAUGGUCAACUCUUGGACACUCGUAAACAGGUGGUGCAUGGUUGUCGUCAGCUCGUGUCGUGAGAUCUUGGGAUGAGUAC
Molecule: ribosomal RNA, 997 nt
Filed under: Microbacterium paraoxydans
Lineage: Bacteria; Bacillati; Actinomycetota; Actinomycetes; Micrococcales; Microbacteriaceae
Description: bacterial SSU rRNA
Rfam family: Bacterial small subunit ribosomal RNA
Source: RNAcentral